Molecule: long non-coding RNA, 358 nt
Organism: Neogale vison (American mink)
Lineage: Eukaryota; Metazoa; Chordata; Mammalia; Carnivora; Mustelidae
Exons: 3
Source: RefSeq, a predicted model, not a curated record
UUGUCCGGGUACAUUCCGACACUAAGGGUACAUUUAAGAGGCCGGAAAGUUACGUAAGCAUCAGACGGACUGUUCAGGAGGACCGGGAAUGGCUCCGGAAGCCUGAGACUAUGAAGAAAGGUGUCCCAGUCUCAAGCCAAAGCUGGGGUUAGCCACACAGUCUUAGAAUUCAAAGGCAUCGUUGAAAGAGCAUCUCAGAGGUAUGUGGAUUGUGUUUACACACGUGUAAGUCUGCAUCUGUGUACAUCUGCAUACACGUCUCAAGGCAGAGCCAGUGGCUUCCUAUUAAGGAAGCUGUCUCCAAAUCUUCCUACCUAGGAACCACCAAACUGUUUCCAUAAUGGCUGCACCAUUUUAC